GUAGGUGGCAAGCGUUGUCCGGAAUUAUUGGGCGUAAAGCGCGCGCAGGCGGUUCUUUAAGUCUGAUGUGAAAGCCCACGGCUCAACCGUGGAGGGUCAUUGGAAACUGGAGAACUUGAGUACAGAAGAGGAAAGCGGAAUUCCACGUGUAGCGGUGAAAUGCGUAGAGAUGUGGAGGAACACCAGUGGCGAAGGCGGCUUUCUGGUCUGUAACUGACGCUGAGGCGCGAAAGCGUGGGGAGCAAACAGGAUUAGAUACCCUGGUAGUCCACGCCGUAAACGAUGAGUGCUAAGUGUUAGGGGGGUUUCCGCCCCCCUUAGUGCUGCAGCUGACGCAUUAAGCACUCCGCCUGGGAGUACGGCCGCAAGGCUG
This 373-nucleotide ribosomal RNA is filed under the name uncultured organism. RNAcentral describes it as "partial 16S ribosomal RNA". It matches the Rfam family "Bacterial small subunit ribosomal RNA", at positions 527 to 896 of the family's 1533-position model. The record is from RNAcentral.